RNAcentral lists this unclassified non-coding RNA (84 nucleotides) under soil metagenome. Its description in RNAcentral is "partial internal transcribed spacer 1". The record is from RNAcentral.
CCUAUAAUUAUGCUUGUGAUUACGUAGAAAAGGUUUUGGAAGAAAAUCCGUCUGUGGAGGUGGUUAUUGAUCUGCACAGAGAUG